CCUACGGGAGGCAGCAGUGGGGAAUAUUGCACAAUGGGGGGAACCCUGAUGCAGCGACGCCGCGUGGGUGAGGAAGUACUUCGGUAUGUAAAGCCCUAUCAGCAGGGAAGAAAAUGACGGUACCUGACUAAGAAGCCCCGGCUAACUACGUGCCAGCCGCCGCGGUAAUACGUAGGGGGCAAGCGUUAUCCGGAUUUACUGGGUGUAAAGGGAGCGUAGACGGCGUGCCAAGUCUGGUGUGAAAGGCCGGGGCUCAACCCCGGGACUGCAUUGGAAACUGGCAGGCUGGAGUGCAGGAGGGGCAAGCGGAAUUCCUAGUGUAGCGGUGAAAUGCGUAGAGAUUAGGAGGAACACCGGUGGCGAAGGCGGCUUGCUGGACGGUAACUGACGUUGAGGCUCGAAAGCGUGGGGAGCAAACAGGAUUAGAUACCCCAGUAGUC
This 440-nucleotide ribosomal RNA is filed under the name uncultured bacterium. RNAcentral describes it as "partial 16S ribosomal RNA". It matches the Rfam family "Bacterial small subunit ribosomal RNA", at positions 338 to 795 of the family's 1533-position model. The record is from RNAcentral.